This 253-nucleotide ribosomal RNA is filed under the name uncultured bacterium. Its description in RNAcentral is "partial 16S ribosomal RNA". It matches the Rfam family "Bacterial small subunit ribosomal RNA", at positions 524 to 776 of the family's 1533-position model. The record is from RNAcentral.
UACGGAGGGUGCAAGCGUUGCUCGGAAUUACUGGGCGUAAAGCGUGUGUAGGCGGCUUGGCAAGUUGGAUGUGAAAGCCCACGGCUCAACCGUGGAAGCGCACCCAAAACUGCUUCGCUCGAGUCUCGGAGAGGAAGGUGGAAUGCUUGGUGUAGAGGUGAAAUUCGUAGAUAUCAAGCAGAACACCUGCGGCGAAGGCGGCCUUCUGGACGAUGACUGACGCUGAGACACGAAAGCGUGGGGAGCAAACAGG